Long non-coding RNA from Amphiprion ocellaris (clown anemonefish), 1250 nucleotides. RefSeq lists it as uncharacterized. The record is from RefSeq and is a predicted model, not a curated record. The transcript has 3 exons. Lineage: Eukaryota; Metazoa; Chordata; Actinopteri; Pomacentridae.
CAUGUUGUGGGUUUUCUUGGUGAGACAAUAAAUAGUUUUGUGACUCGUUCUUAACCAGGAAGCCUGUGUUAAGUUGUGACUAUCCCCAGUUGACAUGGACGUGUUUCCUGAACAAUCACCAGGUGUUAAACACCUCACAGGAUGACAGUGAUCUAUAUGGAUGAAGCAGAAUGCUUGUAGAGCUCAUUGGUAGCACAAUGAGUAAAACGGUGGUCUCGUAAUUUUAUCGCUGGAUUACGUGGUUUCCAAUCCUCUCACCAUACUUGAAAAAUACGUGUUUUUGAUUUCGGCCCGCACGUUUCUUUUUACUGUCUGUAGAUGAUAUUUACAUGGAUAUAGACUUUAUUAAGCAGUGAUGCCGACGUUUUUCGGUGACGUCUUCUUUAUCUGGUAUCUUUAUUUCACGUAAAUCCAGGUCUGAUCGUGACGAAUCUGCGGACGAAACAUCUGGAGACGGAAACUAUCACCAGUUAACCUGAUCACCAGUUAAACUGGAACACCGGUUCACUGUGCUGCAUACAGUUACACACUACGUCGUACGAUUGAGACAAGGAAACUUGGAAUGACUUUUCAGAGGUUUCCCAGAGACUAUGGGUUGAGGAGGAAUUGGAAGUUUGUCAGCUUAGACCUGGUGUCAUUCCAUCAGUGUUAAACUUCCCGGCUCAUCUUUGAAGAGUACGUGCCAGAAAGACCACAACCAAGCAGCCUUGAGAUCUUAGGCAGCGUCUCCCUGAGUUCAAAGGUCCCUCUCUAUCUCCACACAUCCACCAACCACUGGAACACAUCUCCAAAGUUCUGCUGGGCCAGCUCAGCUUCCCCUCAGAAGAAGUGCUGCCACCUGCCAGAUGAAGGAGCCUUUUGAGAGGCAGCUGGCAUCGUGAUUGGACUGUACUUUGGUCUGUUCCAAUACAGCUUCAGCUCCAGAGACGGCAGGCGGGACGAGUCAACGGAGGCCGGGUGGACGAAGACAUGCAGCUGAGUACAAUCCAGAAAACAACAGAGGAGGAGUGCAGCAGCCCAGAGCCAGAACAACCAGAGUAGUCUUAGAAAACAUCAUAGUAUAGCCUCUGGUAUGAAAAAACGCCAUCAUAUACAUCGUAUAUUGUACAAAUAACAAGUCAAAGCAAAGAGACAUACAUUGUAGAAUUGUAGUAAUUGUGGGCUGACUGAUUUACUAAUUAUCAGUAUUUCAUUUUUUACUGAUUUACGGUAAUAAAUAAAUUUAACAAUGGCGCUACUUUGGCUCUGAA